AAAUUGAAGAGUUUGAUCAUGGCUCAGAUUGAACGCUGGCGGCAGGCCUAACACAUGCAAGUCGAACGGUAACAGGAAGCAGCUUGCUGCUUCGCUGACGAGUGGCGGACGGGUGAGUAAUGUCUGGGAAACUGCCUGAUGGAGGGGGAUAACUACUGGAAACGGUGGCUAAUACCGCAUAACGUCGCAAGACCAAAGAGGGGGACCUUCGGGCCUCUUGCCAUCAGAUGUGCCCAGAUGGGAUUAGCUAGUUGGUGAGGUAACGGCUCACCAAGGCGACGAUCCCUAGCUGGUCUGAGAGGAUGACCAGCCACACUGGAACUGAGACACGGUCCAGACUCCUACGGGAGGCAGCAGUGGGGAAUAUUGCACAAUGGGCGCAAGCCUGAUGCAGCCAUGCCGCGUGUAUGAAGAAGGCCUUCGGGUUGUAAAGUACUUUCAGCGGGGAGGAAGGUGUUGUGGUUAAUAACCACAGCAAUUGACGUUACCCGCAGAAGAAGCACCGGCUAACUCCGUGCCAGCAGCCGCGGUAAUACGGAGGGUGCAAGCGUUAAUCGGAAUUACUGGGCGUAAAGCGCACGCAGGCGGUCUGUCAAGUCGGAUGUGAAAUCCCCGGGCUCAACCUGGGAACUGCAUUCGAAACUGGCAGGCUUGAGUCUUGUAGAGGGGGGUAGAAUUCCAGGUGUAGCGGUGAAAUGCGUAGAGAUCUGGAGGAAUACCGGUGGCGAAGGCGGCCCCCUGGACAAAGACUGACGCUCAGGUGCGAAAGCGUGGGGAGCAAACAGGAUUAGAUACCCUGGUAGUCCACGCCGUAAACGAUGUCUACUUGGAGGUUGUGCCCUUGAGGCGUGGCUUCCGGAGCUAACGCGUUAAGUAGACCGCCUGGGGAGUACGGCCGCAAGGUUAAAACUCAAAUGAAUUGACGGGGGCCCGCACAAGCGGUGGAGCAUGUGGUUUAAUUCGAUGCAACGCGAAGAACCUUACCUGGUCUUGACAUCCACGGAAGUUUUCAGAGAUGAGAAUGUGCCUUCGGGAACCGUGAGACAGGUGCUGCAUGGCUGUCGUCAGCUCGUGUUGUGAAAUGUUGGGUUAAGUCCCGCAACGAGCGCAACCCUUAUCCUUUGUUGCCAGCGAUUAGGUCGGGAACUCAAAGGAGACUGCCAGUGAUAAACUGGAGGAAGGUGGGGAUGACGUCAAGUCAUCAUGGCCCUUACGACCAGGGCUACACACGUGCUACAAUGGCGCAUACAAAGAGAAGCGACCUCGCGAGAGCAAGCGGACCUCAUAAAGUGCGUCGUAGUCCGGAUUGGAGUCUGCAACUCGACUCCAUGAAGUCGGAAUCGCUAGUAAUCGUGGAUCAGAAUGCCACGGUGAAUACGUUCCCGGGCCUUGUACACACCGCCCGUCACACCAUGGGAGUGGGUUGCAAAAGAAGUAGGUAGCUUAACCUUCGGGAGGGCGCUUACCACUUUGUGAUUCAUGACUGGGGUGAAGUCGUAACAAGGUAACCGUAGGGGAACCUGCGGUUGGAUCACCUCCUUACCUUAAAGAA
This 1552-nucleotide ribosomal RNA is filed under the name Salmonella enterica subsp. enterica serovar Paratyphi B var. L(+) tartrate +. RNAcentral's name for it is "bacterial SSU rRNA". It matches the Rfam family "Bacterial small subunit ribosomal RNA". Lineage: Bacteria; Pseudomonadati; Pseudomonadota; Gammaproteobacteria; Enterobacterales; Enterobacteriaceae. The record is from RNAcentral. RNAcentral also lists the same sequence under 2 other names.